RNAcentral lists this ribosomal RNA (774 nucleotides) under uncultured Neocallimastigales. RNAcentral describes it as "partial large subunit ribosomal RNA". It matches the Rfam family "Eukaryotic large subunit ribosomal RNA", at positions 24 to 616 of the family's 3401-position model. The record is from RNAcentral. Lineage: Eukaryota; Fungi; Neocallimastigomycota; Neocallimastigomycetes; Neocallimastigales.
AUGUGAUCGUCUCUCGCAUAUCAAUAAGCGGAGGAAAAGAAACUAACAAGGAUUCCCCUAGUAACGGCGAGUGAAGCGGGAAGAGCUCAAAUUUGAAAUCUUAAAGGGUUUCCCUUUACGAAUUGUAGUUUAAAGAAGUGUUUUCUGUUGAGGUUUUGGUAAAAGUUCUUUGGAAUAGGACAUCAUAGAGGGUGAGAAUCCCGUAUUUGACCUUUACUUUCAACUUUGUGAUACACUUUCAAAGAGUCGGAUUGUUUGGGAAUGCAGUCCAAAAUGGGUGGUAAAUUUCAUCUAAAGCUAAAUAUUGGCGAGAGACCGAUAGCGAACAAGUACCGUGAGGGAAAGAUGAAAAGAACUUUGAAAAGAGAGUUAAACAGUACGUGAAAUUGUCAAAAGGGAAGCGUUUGACACCAGUGUUGUUUUUCUGAAAAUCAAUUAAAGAACUGUUUAUGCUAAGCUGGUUAGACUUUAUCAGCUAAUCUGUUUAGUUUUGAGCUUUUCUUUAAUGCACUUUUCAGUUAACAAGUCAACAUCAAUUUCUUUUGCUGUAAAAAAGCUUGAGGAAGGUGGCUUGAGAUUCGUCUUAAGUGUUUAUAGCCUCUUGCCUAUGCAGUCGGAGAGAUUGAGGUCUGCAGCGUAGAUCCUUCGGGGCUAAAUGCAUUUGUGCUAAGUUAUAGCAUUUUAUAGACAACUUGUUGACUAUGAUUUGUCUUGUAGCUUACUCGCUUAUGUUAUUUUACCUACGCUUAGGAUGUUGAGCGCAUGUCUCUCUCU